AUUGAACGCUGGCGGCAGGCCUAACACAUGCAAGUCGAGCGGCAGCGGAAAGUAGCUUGCUACUUUGCCGGCGAGCGGCGGACGGGUGAGUAAUGUCUGGGAAACUGCCUGAUGGAGGGGGAUAACUACUGGAAACGGUAGCUAAUAUCGCAUAACGUCGCAAGACCAAAGAGGGGGACCUUCGGGCCUCUUGCCAUCAGAUGUGCCCAGAUGGGAUUAGCUAGUAGGUGGGGUAACGGCUCACCUAGGCGACGAUCCCUAGCUGGUCUGAGAGGAUGACCAGCCAAACGGGAACUGAGACACGGUCCAGACUCCUACGGGAGGCAGCAGUGGGGAAUAUUGCACAAUGGGCGCAAGCCUGAUGCAGCCAUGCCGCGUGUAUGAAGAAGGCUUUCGGGUUGUAAAGUACUUUCAGCGGGGAGGAAGGUGUUGUGGUUAAUAACCACAGCAAUUGACGUUACCCGCAGAAGAAGCACCGGCUAACUCCGUGCCAGCAGCCGCCGUAA
RNAcentral lists this ribosomal RNA (506 nucleotides) under uncultured bacterium. RNAcentral describes it as "partial 16S ribosomal RNA". It matches the Rfam family "Bacterial small subunit ribosomal RNA", at positions 30 to 523 of the family's 1533-position model. The record is from RNAcentral.